CCUGAUUGUCAAGGACUCAAGGUUCACGAUAUAGAGAUUGUAGUCCAUUUCAUGGUGCAGAGUUUUUGAAUUUCAGAUGCAUUAAUUGCAUUCGCUACAGCUUCAGUAGUCAAUCAUACAAUAUUUUGAUAGUCUUGCAAUAGAAAGACAUUGUUUAAAGUCUCAGCAUGCCCUUGUUUCUAUUAUAUUCCCUUUUAACAAAUUCUUCUCUGAAUUCUUUUUAAGAAAAGUAGAGCCACCUCAACAAACCUUGCUCACCUUAAUGACCUUUGCACAUAUAAAGUAGGAUACCCAGUUCUGUUAGAAGGCAAAGCAUCUGAUAUCAUUCCUAAUUAUCUGCGGUGGUGAUUUUGGUUAGAAAGAAAUAGUGUUUUUUCAAGGAGUGUAUAUGAACAAAAAUCAAUUAAAGUUGAAGCUCAUUCGUUGCACAUUAUCUUUUUGGUGGCUUAAUUUACUGAUUCGCUUGAUAACAUGAAGGUUCUAUGUAGUUGUGACCUGUUCUUGUGUCAUUCUUUUUGUGCUUCCUUGUAGAGGGUUUCCACCCCAUCGUUGCCCAGAUUAGUAUCUCUCACCCUUAUGUAAACACACACAUCAGCGGGAAACCUCUUUUUGUUGCUCUGGACACUUCGAAGUGAAGCAUGUCUUCAAAUGAGAGGUGUUGGGAAUCUGCUAGAUUAUUUCUUUUGAUGAAGAAUCUGCUGGAUGACAUAUUUGCUUAGUCUGUUUAAAAAGAAAUGAUCUAGAAUCUGUUAGAUGAUUUCUUUUUAAACAGACUAAGCAAAUAUUUCAUUUAUCAUAAUGAAGUAUAUAUUCUGCUAUACCAGAAUGAAUGCAAAAGAUAAAGUGAUCAAAAGGAGAGAAGAAAAGAGGUUCUCGCUCUGUGGCCCCUUUGCGUCGGGGUAAGAUCAGAUUUCACUGCUAUCUGCAAAACUUUUUGCUCAAGUAAGGGCACCACUUGAAGUCUGCUUUGUGAAGAUCUACAUAUUCACGCUAAGAUUAUAAUUUAACUAAAACAGUUUGUGUUAUAUCCUGAUACAAGGAGUGUCCAAGUUAUCCCAUCUAAAUUCAUCUAAUUUGCAGUCACGCUGUUUCACCUUCUGGUGUUAUGCCUUCUAUUAUGUUUUUGUCACUUGAGGAUAUACGUCCAUUAAGAGUUAGGAAAUUUAAUUUUUUUCUUGCUUGGAGGCAUGCUUGUGCAAAUAAAA
Lycium ferocissimum is the source of this 1205-nucleotide long non-coding RNA. RefSeq lists it as uncharacterized. The record is from RefSeq and is a predicted model, not a curated record. Lineage: Eukaryota; Viridiplantae; Streptophyta; Magnoliopsida; Solanales; Solanaceae. The transcript is spliced from 2 exons.